AUGAACGCUGGCGGCGUGCCUCAUACAUGCAAGUCGAGCGAACAGACGAGGAGCUUGCUCCUCUGACGUUAGCGGCGGACGGGUGAGUAACACGUGGAUAACCUACCUAUAAGACUGGGAUAACUUCGGGAAACCGGAGCUAAUACCGGAUAAUAUAUUGAACCGCAUGGUUCAAUAGUGAAAGACGGUUUUGCUGUCACUUAUAGAUGGAUCCGCGCCGCAUUAGCUAGUUGGUAAGGUAACGGCUUACCAAGGCAACGAUGCGUAGCCGACCUGAGAGGGUGAUCGGCCACACUGGAACUGAGACACGGUCCAGACUCCUACGGGAGGUAGCAGUAGGGAAUCUUCCGCAAUGGGCGAAAGCCUGACGGAGCAACGCCGCGUGAGUGAUGAAGGUCUUCGGAUCGUAAAACUCUGUUAUUAGGGAAGAACAAAUGUGUAAGUAACUAUGCACGUCUUGACGGUACCUAAUCAGAAAGCCACGGCUAACUACGUG
Molecule: ribosomal RNA, 496 nt
Filed under: uncultured bacterium
Lineage: Bacteria
Description: partial 16S ribosomal RNA
Rfam family: Bacterial small subunit ribosomal RNA
Source: RNAcentral